This 253-nucleotide ribosomal RNA is filed under the name uncultured bacterium. Its description in RNAcentral is "partial 16S ribosomal RNA". It matches the Rfam family "Bacterial small subunit ribosomal RNA", at positions 524 to 776 of the family's 1533-position model. The record is from RNAcentral.
UACGUAGGCAGCAAGCGUUGUUCGGAAUUACUGGGCGUAAAGAGUGUGUAGGCGGUGCUCUAAGUCUGUUGUGAAAUCUCCCGGCUUAACUGGGAGGGUGCGGCGGAAACUGGAGUGCUCGAGGGUGGGAGAGGAAAGCGGAAUUCCUGGUGUAGCGGUGAAAUGCGUAGAUAUCAGGAGGAACACCGGCGGUGUAGACGGCUUUCUGGACCGUAGCUGACGCUGAGACACGAAAGCGUGGGUAGCAAACAGG